AACGUGCCCAAUAGUGGGGGAUAGCCCGGCGAAAGCCGGAUUAAUACCGCAUGAGACCUGAGGGUGAAAGCGGGGGAUUCGCAAGAACCUUGCGCUAAUGGAGCGGCCGAUAUCAGAUUAGGUAGUUGGUGGGGUAAAAGCCUACCAAGCCGACGAUCUGUAGCUGGUCUGAGAGGACGACCAGCCACACUGGGACUGAGACACGGCCCAGACUCCUACGGGAGGCAGCAGUGGGGAAUUUUGGACAAUGGGCGCAAGCCUGAUCCAGCCAUGCCGCGUGCGG
RNAcentral lists this ribosomal RNA (283 nucleotides) under uncultured bacterium. Its description in RNAcentral is "partial 16S ribosomal RNA". It matches the Rfam family "Bacterial small subunit ribosomal RNA", at positions 123 to 406 of the family's 1533-position model. The record is from RNAcentral.